GUGGGGAAUAUUGGACAAUGGGCGAAAGCCUGAUCCAGCCAUGCCGCGUGUGUGAAGAAGGUCUUCGGAUUGUAAAGCACUUUAAGUUGGGAGGAAGGGCAGUAAGUUAAUACCUUGCUGUUUUGACGUUACCGACAGAAUAAGCACCGGCUAACUUCGUGCCAGCAGCCGCGGUAAUACGAAGGGUGCAAGCGUUAAUCGGAAUUACUGGGCGUAAAGCGCGCGUGGGUGGUUUUGUAAGUUGGAGGUGAAAUCCCCGGGCUCAACCUGGGAACUGCCUCCAAAGCCGCAUGACUAGAGUACUGUAGAGGGUAGUGGAAUUUCCUGUGUAGCGGUGAAAUGCGUAGAUAUAGGAAGGAACACCAGUGGCGAAGGCGACUACCUGGACUGAUACUGACACUGAGGUGCGAAAGCGUGGGGAGCAAACAGGAUUAGAAACCCCGGUAGUCC
This 450-nucleotide ribosomal RNA is filed under the name uncultured bacterium. Its description in RNAcentral is "partial 16S ribosomal RNA". It matches the Rfam family "Bacterial small subunit ribosomal RNA", at positions 354 to 796 of the family's 1533-position model. The record is from RNAcentral.